GUAAUUUAUUAACUUUCCUACUUCUAUUGCGGGUUAAUUGGUCAAUGACUCAUUGUAAAACGCAUAGAUCUACCUAUCUGCUUCAUAAAACAGCUAAAGCCUCCAACACAACCAAAAAACUUAACAGGCUUCUUCUUUCCUCUUCUUCUUCAACCAAUCUGCUGAAGAGAAUUGAUAUGGAGACGGACACAGCAACCAGAUAUCUAAUAGAGAUCCUCUACCAACCAGAUUGUUACGAUUCAAAUUGGCUUACAUAAGUUACAAGAAGUUGGGCAGCCAAAAGGUAUUGCAAAAUUUCCCGUUUGCAAAUGACUCAAUUGGGUGUUGUUUUUCCACUUAUUAGCUUCUAUUGCUGGGCCAAGAGGUUGAUCCUUUGCCUUUUGUUUCGACCAAAGGUGGCCUCAACAUCUCAGGGAAUUGUGGGUGACUUUAAAUAGUUUCAAUGUCUGUUACUUCCUAGUAAUUGGAGAAAUCUAGGUUCAACCUCUGUGUAACUCUAAUGAUAUUUUUAGCAAACAAAAUAUAGAAACAAUACCAAUGCCAA
Long non-coding RNA from Rosa rugosa (rugosa rose), 544 nucleotides. RefSeq lists it as uncharacterized. Lineage: Eukaryota; Viridiplantae; Streptophyta; Magnoliopsida; Rosales; Rosaceae. The transcript has 3 exons. The record is from RefSeq and is a predicted model, not a curated record.